RNAcentral lists this small RNA (47 nucleotides) under Sinorhizobium meliloti 2011. Its description in RNAcentral is "putative ncRNA". The record is from RNAcentral. Lineage: Bacteria; Pseudomonadati; Pseudomonadota; Alphaproteobacteria; Hyphomicrobiales; Rhizobiaceae.
AGGAUUUUUGUGCCUAAGUUCGGCCCAAGGUCCUGCAAGCCGGCCCU